GGGAAUAUUGCACAAUGGGCGAAAGCCUGAUGCAGCCAUGCCGCGUGUGUGAAGAAGGCCUUCGGGUUGUAAAGCACUUUUAUUUGGGAGGAAGGGCGGUAGUUUAAUAUGCUAUCACUGUGACGUUAACAACAGAAGAAGCACCGUCUAACUUCGUGCCAGCAGCCGCGGUAAUAA
RNAcentral lists this ribosomal RNA (177 nucleotides) under uncultured bacterium. Its description in RNAcentral is "partial 16S ribosomal RNA". It matches the Rfam family "Bacterial small subunit ribosomal RNA", at positions 357 to 526 of the family's 1533-position model. The record is from RNAcentral.